This 262-nucleotide ribosomal RNA is filed under the name uncultured bacterium. RNAcentral's name for it is "partial 16S ribosomal RNA". It matches the Rfam family "Bacterial small subunit ribosomal RNA", at positions 46 to 334 of the family's 1533-position model. The record is from RNAcentral.
AGGCCUAACACAUGCAAGUCGAGCGCCGUAGCAAUACGGAGCGGCAGACGGGAGAGUAACACGUGGGAACGUGCCCUUCAGUUCGGAACAACCCAGGGAAACUUGGGCUAAUACCGGAUACGUCCGUAAGGAGAAAGAUUUAUCGCUGAAGGAUCGGCCCGCGUCUGAUUAGCUAGUUGGUGGGGUAAUGGCCCACCAAGGCGACGAUCAGUAGCUGGUCUGAGAGGAUGAUCAGCCUCACUGGGACUGAGACACGGCCCAG